UUACUUAUAUAAAUGUUCAGCCUAGAGAAACAUUUAUCGGCAUGUUUAUACUAAUUUUUAAUAACUAUUUUUUUUUGAAAAAAAAACAAUAAGAUUUAAUAUUUUUAGAAUGCUGUGAACUCGGUGUACAAUUACUACUUGUCAAAAUAGCCUAGAAAAGGCUAAAAAUUUGGAAAAAUUUCAUGCUUUCCCGAAGAAUACCGAAAUUACUCAAAUAUGGGUGCAGAUUCAAAGGGUGUAGAGUUGUAGAGAUGGAAAAUGGAAUGUAGAAACUUGUAGGAUUUGUUCAGAUCAUUUUACCGAUGACGAUUAUGAAAGAGAUCUUCAAGUAAGAGGAAUUAUUAGGACUUGGAAACUAAGAAAAACAUUAAAAGCAAUUGUUAUAUAGGUAUGAGUAGAAUCUUAUGUAAAAG
Molecule: long non-coding RNA, 413 nt
Organism: Sitophilus oryzae (rice weevil)
Lineage: Eukaryota; Metazoa; Arthropoda; Insecta; Coleoptera; Curculionidae
Exons: 2
Source: RefSeq, a predicted model, not a curated record